This 73-nucleotide transfer RNA is filed under the name Verrucomicrobiota bacterium. Its description in RNAcentral is "Verrucomicrobia bacterium tRNA-Thr". It matches the Rfam family "tRNA". Rfam says of the family: Transfer RNA (tRNA) molecules are approximately 80 nucleotides in length. The record is from RNAcentral. Lineage: Bacteria; Pseudomonadati; Verrucomicrobiota. RNAcentral also lists the same sequence under 4 other names.
GCCUAAAUAGCUCAGUUGGUAGAGCAGCGCAUUCGUAAUGCGAAGGUCGUCGGUUCGACUCCGGCUUUGGGCA